RNAcentral lists this ribosomal RNA (429 nucleotides) under Pseudomonadota bacterium. RNAcentral describes it as "Proteobacteria bacterium partial 16S ribosomal RNA". It matches the Rfam family "Bacterial small subunit ribosomal RNA", at positions 355 to 776 of the family's 1533-position model. Lineage: Bacteria; Pseudomonadati; Pseudomonadota. The record is from RNAcentral.
UGGGGAAUAUUGGACAAUGGGCGAAAGCCUGAUCCAGCCAUGCCGCGUGUGUGAAGAAGGUCUUCGGAUUGUAAAGCACUUUAAGUAGGGAGGAAGGGCAGUAAGCGAAUACCUUGCUGUUUUGACGUUACCGACAGAAUAAGCACCGGCUAACUCUGUGCCAGCAGCCGCGGUAAUACAGAGGGUGCAAGCGUUAAUCGGAAUUACUGGGCGUAAAGCGCGCGUAGGUGGUUCGUUAAGUUGAAUGUGAAAGACACGGGCUCAACCUGAGAACUGAAUGCAAAACUGGCGAGCUAGAGUAGGGCAGAGGGUGGUGGAAUUUACUGUGUAGCGGUGAAAUGCGUAGAUAGAGGAAGGAACACCAGUGGGGAAGGAGAGCACCUGGGCUAAUACUGACAGUGAGGUGCGAAAGCGUGGGGAGCAAACAGG